RNAcentral lists this long non-coding RNA (1939 nucleotides) under Helianthus annuus (common sunflower). Its description in RNAcentral is "hypothetical non coding rna". The record is from RNAcentral. Lineage: Eukaryota; Viridiplantae; Streptophyta; Magnoliopsida; Asterales; Asteraceae.
UGUUCUAAAAACCUAAAUCUCUCAUUCUUCUCCUUCACGCCGCUUUGUGGAUGCUCAUACGUGGAUGCUCAUACACUCUUUAUAAUCCAGCAAUCUCUGCAGUUAAUCGAUUCAAUCCCUUGGCGUUUUAAAUCACAUUGGAGAGACGUCUAAAAUUACAUUGGGAUUUCGCUCUUUAACAUAGAGAAUCAAUAGUUCAAUGUUGACGAUAACAUGGUUAACCGAUUUGUUUAGGUGAAGUUAGAACAAGUUAUGCAAGUAUUAAAAAUUUCAAAGAGGAGUCUAGCAAGCAGUGCAUAUUAGACAAUUUUGAUUUCUAUGAAGAUCGUCAACGAAGAAUUCUAUAAAAGAAAGAAAAUAUAGCGGUUUCAGAAACAGAUGUGGGAAGGAAAACUAAAAGAGGGGAUUAUAGUGGAUAUUGUACCACCAAAAUCAUCUAAAACAGAGGUCCGAAGGUAGUACAAAAGAUGGCGAAACAUGCUGCUUAAUUAUUGGCAAUGGUAUGCAUGCUGAUGGGGUGUUGUUGAGCAGGCUUUGUAUAGGGAACGAGGCGUUGCGUAUUGUUAAUGAAGAGGGUGUUAGAGCCUUUUGGAAAGGGAAUAUGGUUACUAUUGCUCAUCGUCUUUCUUAUGCUGCUAUUAACUUCUACGCGUAUCAAAUAACUUUUAAUCAUCUAUCUUCAAUGCUUUCUUUGUCUACUCCACCUUCGCAGAUUGCUAAAAUUGCCGCUGAUUUUAUUUUCGAUUUGAUUAGUUCAUAGGGUGGAAUUCUUUGUUUGAUUGGUAACGUUGUGGGUAACGAGUAUAAAUCUCUAUAUAACUUAAGGUUAUGGUCCCUUUCUUGUUUUUUGUAUAGUUAAACUUGGUUGGUAUCAUCUAUGAGUAAGUUUGCAAAUGAGAUUUUAUAUUGGGAGAGAGAGAGAGAAAAGUAGAUGUCGUGACAAGGGUUGAGACGGGGGAGAAUCGCCGGUUUUCCGGCGACUACAACAACAUCCUCCUCCCUUGAUCUCAACAACAAAGAGACUAAAGCUAGUAAGUUUCGGAGGCGAAGAUUAAGCAGGACGUUAACACGAUCGACUUAGGUAUUCAGAUGAUCACUGAUCAGGUCUCUACCAGUGGUGACGUGGAGGUUGAACUCAGGAAGAUGUAAAAGAGAAUUCGGGCAGAUCUGGUUACGAAAACAGACGGAUUUAUGAAUGAGACGCCGGCUGCUGUAUGAGACGGAUUUAGGGGGACACACCGACGUUAGGUAGGGAAGGAUGCGUAAACACACAGUGGCAUCUGACGGCUUUCUUCGUUGGAUUUCGAAUAUGGUUUCGGUUUCACCUUCAAACUAAGGAUAAAUAUGGAGGAAAAAGUGCAAUGCCAACAUGAAUGGGUUAAGUUGUAUUCUGUUAUGCCCCAAGUAAAGGUAGAACGGGCCAUGCGGCUCUUUAGGUAAAGCCACAUGCAAGGGCGGACCCACCUUGUACGGGUCGAGUUCAUGGGAACCGAUUGAUUAUACAAAAAAUAAGUAGAGGCGAUGAUCAAUUCAUCGAGUGACUUCACUUUGUUUUGUCUCUGAAUUUUACUUGAUCUAUAUUAUCUCAUAUUUACAUUUGCUGUUAUAGUUUGAGUGUGAAUGUUGUGUGUAGAGAUUCUAAGUGAUAUUACAGAAUUAAACUCUCUUACUUUCUAUAGAAAGAUGCCAAUAUGUUAGUGAAUAUUGUAGGAUAGUCGCAGUGGGAACUUAAGUUAAGAGGCUUUCAUCGACUAAAACUUAUCCAAAAAUUCAAAGGUUUGCAAAGUUUGACUUUUUUCAGGUCAAAUUAUAUACGUUUCAGAAUCAAAUUGACAUGAUAUUUCUUUAGUUUCCGGAUAAAUUUAGUCAACUACUUGAGCUUUAGACUGUCCAAUGAAAUCUCGAAGUUGAAGUAAUUUAUAGAAUGAAAAUCAUAUGA